CGUGGAUAACCUGCCGUGCACAGGGGGAUAACACUUAGAAAUAGGUGCUAAUACCGCAUAAGCGCACAGUUUCGCAUGAGACAGUGUGAAAAGCCUGGAAGCGAUUCCUGGCGGUGCAUGAUGGAUCCGCGUCCGAUUAGCUAGUUGGCGGGGUAAAGGCCCACCAAGGCAGCGAUCGGUAGCCGGCCUGAGAGGGUGGACGGCCACAUUGGGACUGAGACACGGCCCAAACUCCUACGGAAGGCAGCAG
This 250-nucleotide ribosomal RNA is filed under the name uncultured bacterium. RNAcentral's name for it is "partial 16S ribosomal RNA". It matches the Rfam family "Bacterial small subunit ribosomal RNA", at positions 116 to 354 of the family's 1533-position model. The record is from RNAcentral.